This 225-nucleotide ribosomal RNA is filed under the name uncultured bacterium. RNAcentral's name for it is "partial 16S ribosomal RNA". It matches the Rfam family "Bacterial small subunit ribosomal RNA", at positions 32 to 243 of the family's 1533-position model. The record is from RNAcentral.
AAUCAACGCUGGCGGCGUGCCUAACACAUGCAAGUCGAACGCGAAAAUUCCUUCGGGAAUGAGUAGAGUGGCGUCCGAGUGAGUAACGCGUGGGUAAUCUACCUUCGGGUGGGGAAGUAACCCACGGGAAACGUUAGGGCGUAAUAACCGCAUAAUGCAGCGGCUCGACAUCGAGAUAGUUGUUAAAGACAGCAAUGCGCCUGAAGAAGAGCCUGCGUCUGAUUA